UACAGGGGGUGCAAACGUUGCUCGGAAUUACUGGGCGUAAAGCGUGCGCAGGCGGUUUUGUAAGCCAGAUGUGAAAGCCCCGGGCUCAACCUGGGAAUGGCAUUUGGGACUGCAAGGCUUGAGUGCGGCAGAGGAGACUGGAAUUCCUGGUGUAGCAGUGAAAUGCGUAGAUAUCAGGAGGAAUACCGAUGGCGAAGGCAGGUCUCUGGGCAUUAACUGACGCUGAGGAGCGAAAGCAUGGGGAGCGAACAGG
RNAcentral lists this ribosomal RNA (253 nucleotides) under uncultured bacterium. RNAcentral's name for it is "partial 16S ribosomal RNA". It matches the Rfam family "Bacterial small subunit ribosomal RNA", at positions 524 to 776 of the family's 1533-position model. The record is from RNAcentral.